RNAcentral lists this ribosomal RNA (3073 nucleotides) under Ambystoma mexicanum (axolotl). RNAcentral's name for it is "eukaryotic LSU rRNA". The stretch from base 662 to 3073 matches the Rfam family "Eukaryotic large subunit ribosomal RNA". Lineage: Eukaryota; Metazoa; Chordata; Amphibia; Caudata; Ambystomatidae. The record is from RNAcentral.
ACUGUAGCCCCUGAGAUUCUAUCCAGGGCUACAACCAAAAGACCAGGGGCCAAUGCCCCAUUAGCCCCCCCUAGCAACGCCUCUGACGCACAGGUACCCAGUACUUCCGACCUGCAUCUGUCCACACCAAAGGUUUCUGCAUCUGCCUUCCCACUAUCUGAUUAACACACCCUGUCCUCCAUCCUUAGGGCCAUGCACAGCAAGGCCAACAUUAUUGGCAGAAGGGCGCUGUAUAAAACCACUUUACAUUACAUUACGUUGAUAUACAGGAACCUUAACAGCGCAGCAAAUUUACACAUAAGAGUCGGUGGCUAGUUGGUGGGGUCACUCUGGGUCUGGAGAUCUAAAGAGUACACCCUUUGACUGGAGACGGUAGUCCUUAGGGUGGCUUUGAAGGAGGUCGAGUAAAAAGUGCACCUUAGAUCCAGGCUGCCAGGCACGUAAAGGAGCAUUUGUUGGAUACGCAAAUGUGCUUGAGAAUGGUUAUUCGCUGGAGGGCCAGGUAGAGCGGAUAGGAGCAGCUGUGACUCAUCUUGCAGAUAUUGAAUACGUUGAGGUGAGUUGCAGUGGUGGCCUUAGUAUUGAAUAAGGUGCGAUGCUUGUUACUGUCAAAGUGUGUACUGUUAGGUUGCUUGUGGUGUGGUUAGGACUAAAGCAUUAGGGGUAUUCAAUCAUUUAUGGUGCUGUGUGCUGCUGGAUUGAGCAUGAAAGCAACAUAGGAAAACCAGUGACGAGAGGUAAUGAAUGAUGCUGCCCUAGUGGGCUUGGAAGGAAAUGAUUAUUUCAAUAUCAGCCAGCAUAUCAAGGGGAACAGAACCAAUUCUAUGCCCAGGGCCAGAGGAAACAUUGGUGGAGGUCCAGAACAGUCCAGAUGUGCAAAUCGGUCGUCCGACCUGGUAUAGGGCGAAAGACUAAUGGAACCAUCUAGUAGUUGGUUCUCUCUGAAGAUUCCCUCAGGAUAGCUUGUGCUCAGAAAUCCAAGUUUUAUCUGGUAAAGCGAAUGAUUGGAGGUCUUGAGUAUUCUCAAACUUUAAAUGGGCAAGAAGUUACGGCUCACUGCUUUGGAGCCGGGCAUCGAAGGAGAGUGCCCAGUGGACACUUUUGGUAAGCAGAACUGGCGAUGCCGGAUGAGCUGAAUGCCGGGUUAAGGUGUUGGAUGUCGAUGCUCAUCAGACACCAGAAAAGGUGUUGGUUGAUACAGAUAGCAGGUCGUUGGCCAUGGAAGUUGGAGUCUGUUAAGGAGUCUAUAACAACUCGCCUGCCAAAUCAACUAGCACGGAAAAUGGAUGGUGCAGAAGCGUCUAGCUCAUACCCGGCCAUUGCUGACACUGUGAGCCACAGGGGCUAAGCGGCAACGAGUACAAGGGCUGCUCCGGUGUACACAGAAGCCCAGUGGAGCUGCAGUAGGCUCAGAUCUUGGUGGUGGUAGCAAAUAUUGAAGUGAGAACCUUUAAGGCUGAGGUGGGAAUGGGUUCCAUCUGAACAGCAGUUGAACAUGGGUCAGUUGGUCCUAAGAGGUGGGCGUGCGCUGUUUGGAAGGGACAGGGGCAAUAGCCUCUGUUGCCCUCAGCCGAUUGAAUACCGAGUCUGGUUCAGAUCCCCGAACCCAGAGUGGCGGUGAUGGGCCCCCUCGCGGAGCUCGGUGCAGUAAGGCAAACUAUCCCGGAGAAGACGGCGGGAGCCCCAGGGAGAGUUCUCUUUUUUUUCUUUGUGCGAAGUGCAGGCCACCCUGGAAAGGAUUCAACCCGAGAGAGGGGCCAGAGCCUUGGAAAGCAUUGCGGUUCAGCGGCAUUGGGUCAUCUCUCGCUGGUCUGUGAAAAUCCAGGGGAAAGGGGAUGUAAAUAUUGCGCUGUGUCAUAUCCAUAUCAGGUCUCCAAGGUGAACAGCCACGAUCAUGUUGGAACAGUCUAGGUAAGGGAAGUCUGCAAGUCUGAUCUGUAACUACGGAUAAGGAUUGGCUAUAAAGCUGGGGUGUGAAUUGGGGCUGGGCACGUGCCUCAGCUGGAUGAGGCGUCUUUGCCUCCUACCCCCUAUCUCCCUCCCUGGGGCGUCACCGCCUAUGGAAGCAGGCCGGGCCCUUCCUACGGAUCGACCCAGCUGUGGUGGUUGCCGCUCUGUGCUCCACUGGUUCGGGCACUGCGUUCUUCCUUGGUCGAUGCCUAGCAGCUGGCUUGGAACUACUGGGGACCCGGGGAAUCUGACUGUUUACUUAAAACAAAGCAUUGCGAAUGCCCGCUGCGGGUGUUGACUCAAUGUGAUUUCUCUGCCCAGUGCUCUGAAGGUCAAAGUGAAGAAGUUGAAGCGCGGAAAAACUGUAGGAGUAACUAUGACUCUGAAGGUAGCCUCUCGUUUCUGACUCCAACCACCCAGCACCUGCCGGCCGUGACACGCUCUGGGAACAGUGGCAGGUGGGGAAAUUGACUGGGGUGGUACAUUGAGCGCCUGGAUACUAUGAAAAUGGCAGCGGUGCGCAGUGUAAAUCAACCUAACAUCUGUCAAGCAAUAACGUAGGUGUCCUAAGGCGAGCUUAGGGAGGAGAGAAACCUCCCAUGGAGCAGAAGGGAAAAAGCUUGAUUGAUCUUAAUUUUUAGUAUGAAUACAGACCGUGAAAGCGACUACACACAACCCCUCAGACCCUUUGGGUUUCAAGUAGGAGGUGUCAGAAAAGUUACCACAGGGACAUUCUGAAGCAGAAUUCACCAAGCGCUGGACUGUUAACCCACUAAUGGGGAACGUGAGCUGGGUUUAGACUGUCAUGAGACAGGUUAGUUUUACCCUACUGAUGAUUUGUUGUUUCAGUAGUAAUCCUGCUCAGUACGAGAAGGACCAAAUGUUUAGACGUUUGGUGUAUCUGCUUGGUUAGGAAGCCAAUGGGGUGAAGCUACCCAUCUGUGGGAUUAUGACUGAAUGCCUCCAAGUCAGAAUCACCCCUAAACCUAACUGUUACCACAGUGCUGUGGAUCCCUGGUUGGCCUAGGAUAACCGGCUUCUGGGCCGGCUCGUAGAGCCGCUCACCUCGCAUCUCAAGUGUGAACAGAAGGGGGCCACUUCUCUCGCCCGAAGUGCACCCCAU